RNAcentral lists this non-coding RNA (26 nucleotides) under Rattus norvegicus (Norway rat). The record is from RNAcentral. Lineage: Eukaryota; Metazoa; Chordata; Mammalia; Rodentia; Muridae.
UGGAAUUAAAGACUUGUGGACUGUGU